UUGAAAAAAUAAAAAAAACUCUUUCUUUCCCCAAAGUUCCAGCCAGAUUUCUGACCUUACUACAUCAAGUCAAAUGUCCCAUAGCUGCAUAAAGUACUCUAGCAGAUUUAGGAUUGGAAUACAGAAGUUGUGCUGUCACACUGGGGCUGACGGGAGGAAAUACGAGCCCGAGAAAGUUCAGCUGAAGCAACUGAAGCAGUCCUGCCCUGCCGUGCAGUAAUAAGGAGAAAACAAAUACAAUAAAGCAAAGGAACUAGAGCGAUGUGCAGAGAAACAUCACAUCUUCCAAGGAAUGGCUUCCAUGACAGAAGGGCUGAACCAUAGGUUUAGAAGAGUAAAGAUAUUUCCCAAUGUUGUGGCCUCCAAAAAUACCCUGCCAAAGGAAACUGACAAAUGAAACCCAAAUAAAAAGAGUUAGAAAACAGAGGUCAAAAUGGCCUGCAGAAUCGAACCAGCAACCACCACGUGAACAUCCAGCAAAGCAAUGCUUUGCCGAGCGCCCAGCGCCGUUGGGACUGCGCAUCCCUGCCGGAAUCGCGUUCUGUGAGCCUCCUCAGGGCGAGACUGUUGAGAAAUGAGUGAUUACGGUCUGUACCAGAUGAAAGCUUCAGAGAGUUAGAACUUUGAGUUCGGAACCGCAGAAUUAGAAGUUCUGAAAUUUGAAGGAAAUAUUUACAAAUAAAAGGAAAUCUUUUUGUGGUGGCAUAUGUGGAAAAUAAAUGGAAUUAAGAAAUACUUAAAAACAGAUAGAAUUUCCAUCUUGAGUCACUAAGGAGAGUUGGAGAGGGCCUCGUUAGAGCUCUAAACUGAUGGCUCUGCUCAAAUCACGCAUCAGUGCCACUUUUGGCACAAGGAGAUGGAAGGUGAGCUGCUCCUACCCAAGGAGACAGUUUAUAGAACCUUUGUUACGCUGGGAAAGCACAUCGGAGGACAUCAUCUGGUGCCUUCGUUUUACAGAGGGGAAACAGCAGAGAGGGCAGUGUAGCCCAAGGGUAUGAGCUCAGAUUUGGUGACAGACUGGAUAGAAAUGCGGCUUCUCCACCUCAGGUCUGAAGUUCGAUCUACCGGAGCAUUUGGCCAAUCAGGGACACAAAGCGGGACAGCGCCCUGUUCAAGCCCAGUCGCCUCCUCACAGAGUCUCUGGGGUUAGACAGAGCUACAUGCUGCUACAGCGGGUGCUGUGGGCUAGGUCUUGCUGACCUGAUCCUCCUUUGGGGCUCUGUUUCCAACCGAUGGGCAGGCAAAGCAGCCCACUGUCCUGUGAUGUAGGAUAGUCACCUUUGGGCUCAAAACAUUGAGCAAAAGCUGUGGGAGAAGUUCCCGAAUCCCUCCACUUCCCAGAGUAGUGGAAACAGAGCACAGAUCCCGAUGCCCCCGCAGACCCAGGGGCUCUCUGUGCAUCUGCUGGAAGAGAUGGGCAGAGGAGACAGCUGCGGAACGCAGUCUUUGGGUCCAAACAGCUCUGCGGAGUUCAUCCCACAGACAAGACCAUCUUGCCUAUCAGGAUGGCAAAGGCAAACAGUUUAAUCAAUUGAACAUUUCCCUAUAAAGCUAGAUUGUAACUGCAUACAGCAGAAGUGAUGCUUUUCUCCACCGGUAACCUGCACAGGCUUCUACUGUCCUCCGCUCUUGUUGCUGCUGGUGUUUUGUGAUGCAUAUUUUCUUUCAAAUUAGAAAAAAAAAUUCACAUUUAAGGAAGGAAGAGGUCUUGAAUCCAUCCUGGCUGACAUCAUCUCCUUUCCAUUGUACUCCCUGCUAGAUUUAGUGUAGGAGCAUAUCAAAUACAUACAUAUUAGCCCAAAUUCCCAGUGGCUAAGUAUUAGGUCAACAUUUUUCUCAAAGGUUGCUGCUAAAUAUCAUCACAAGGCAAACUUCCUGGAAAAAUGUAACUGCAAUUGCAUUUUUAUAAAACAAAUUGGUAAUCAAGUUUUAAAAGCUCGACAUCGUAGGAAUGAUUACUCAGGCUAUUGCCCAUCCAUAUCCCUCUUUCUCAAGAGUUUGAAGACUCAUUGUCUUCUUUAUAGCGGGAUAAGCUUUCUCAGUCUUUCCCACUUUGCGACCUUUGCUCUUCCAGUACUCACGAUACGUAAGGGAAGUCCUAAUUCCAAGCGACAUCUGUCGUUCAGAAUGAAUGGCCGCUGCCGGGACGCCCUUGCCCUCUUCCUGUGCCUGCGUAGCUUUCACGGUGUGGAGAGGACGCAGUGACCGGGCCGGAUAGCAAGUUGUGGCUGACACCAAAGUUGAAGUCAAAUCUCACUACGUCACUAAUUCAGAGUUUGGUAGAACAUUUCAAUAAGCAAACUAUAUUUUUAAAAAAUGUUUUUUGAAUUCUCUUUUGGUCCAUUUUUGGAGAAAUAACUAGACAUUUUACAUUGAAAUCAAUGAAUUCCUCUAAGAGCCACAAGAUGGUGCUAUGAAGUGGCAUUUAGAGAAGAUUAAAAAACCAUUUGGCUUCUAGAAGCCAAUUUUAGGCAGGUCAAUCCCACCGACAUCACUUAACAUUAGCUACAGAAGAGCACUGUCUUUACCCGGCUUCAGUGAACCAGAUUUGUUGGUAUAAGGACAACUUUACUCCUGCUGCUGCUUUUAAACACUCUAUUCUAGAAAUUAUACUUGUUAUCUUUGGUUUUGACCUCAGGUUUUAAGACUACUUUAAGAGAAAACUAAGAAUGAAUUUGGACUUCAGCAAAGUUAAGUCAGGAAAAAGUACUGGACUGAACAGAGCCCAAAUUUCUAACUCCUGCUCUCCUCCCCUGUCUUUCCUGGGGCUCUCGGCAAGGACCUUGUCAGCCUUCGGUGUGUGGUGAGGCCCCGAAUCAGUUCUGCUUGGCGUAGUCGGGUGGCGGUGAGGACACUGCUGCGUCUUGGUGAGGUCGGCUGCUCCCGUCCUACCUGCAGAGGACAGAAAUGCCAAGGCGGAGAAACCCGACCCUCCAUUCGUUCCCUCGUUGGUUGGUUGGUUCAUUCACCGAUCCACACGUUCCUUCAUUCAUACUUGUAGUUCUCCAUCUGUUAGUGCAUUUGUUCAUUUGUCCAACACCUUUUCACAAAGUGUUGACCACGAUUCAAGAUCAGACCAAGCUCUAGAGAUAAAAAGAAAAGAAUGACCUCAUUCCUAUUCAGUCUAACAGAGGAGAGAGAUGCUUAUGAAAUAAGGUAACGAUAAUAUACGACACCAGCGUUUUGCUCCCAAGUGUGAGACAUUCUGGGAACAAGGACGUUUAAUGAUGAAUCCUGGGUGGGAUGACAGGACUCAGGCAGGCUGCUGACUGUGGAGGGUGAGGGAAGCAGCAGAUGACGCUGGACACAGCACACAGCGGAGCCCAUGUCUAGGAUGUGCUUGUUAUGUGUCACACAGGCCGGGCAGCGAGAAUGCGAGGAGGGCUGCGGAGGGAACAGAGAGCGUGCGAAGGAGCGGGCCAGUCGGAAGGCCGGAAAUGGAAGCACGGAAAGGCACGGGGGCGCGUGGCAGUCGCUCCCUCUCUGUAGUCUGGGUGUCACGGCCUUGGGGUUGGUUGGAUGAGAUCCAGGAGUGAAAUCUUCGAUGGGUUCUUUCAGAGCUGAACUCCAUUUUCCUCCAUGUGAACUACCAAGCCUGCCCAACGAUUCACACAGUAACAUGACCGACUGUCCGUGCUGCACCGCCAGGCCCCUGGAGCUGCGAGUCCCCAGGACUAGGGCACGGUUCUUGGGGUUCCCAGGGCACCUCAGGGCCGAGAUGGCCUGGAAGGAGCCUAGGGGCCGAGUGCUGGUGUACAGUACUCUCCAGAGCUCUGUUGGCUCCUGCUCUUUCAGGGUGAGACUGCUCUGGGCGGAGGGCUGAGGGAUGGCAGGGUCUCCGCCCCUUCUGCCAGGAGGGCCGAGGAGUUUUGCUGUCACAGUUCCUGAGCCCAGACCUCUAGCUAAGACAGCUGAAGAAUGACUCAGAGGCCAUGGCAGGAUGGAGUAGACAUUCAAAACCCAGAACCAAGAUGAGCACUCACGAACUUACCCUUGCAGUCCUUUGCAAGAAAUAGACAUUUUCUGUUUACACGGGACAAAAAGGUACCUUUUAUGUGACUGUGUUUUUUUUCCUCAUUGAGUUUAUUGGUACAUUCCAGGCCUACAGUACA
Molecule: long non-coding RNA, 4112 nt
Organism: Fukomys damarensis (Damara mole-rat)
Lineage: Eukaryota; Metazoa; Chordata; Mammalia; Rodentia; Bathyergidae
Exons: 3
Source: RefSeq, a predicted model, not a curated record